This 584-nucleotide ribosomal RNA is filed under the name uncultured bacterium. RNAcentral's name for it is "partial 16S ribosomal RNA". It matches the Rfam family "Bacterial small subunit ribosomal RNA", at positions 355 to 1375 of the family's 1533-position model. The record is from RNAcentral.
UGGGGAAUUUUGGACAAUGGGCGAAAGCCUGAUCCAGCAAUGCCGCGUGUGUGAAGAAGGCCUUCGGGUUGUAAAGCACUUUUGUCCGGAAAGAAAUCCUUGGCUCUAAUACAGUCGGGGGAUGACGGUACCGGAAGAAUAAGCACCGGCUAACUACGUGCCAGCAGCCGCGGUAAUACGUAGGGUGCAAGCGUUAAUCGGAAUUACUGGGCGUAAAGCGUGCGCAGGCGGUUUGCUAAGACCGAUGUGAAAUCCCCGGGCUCAACCUGGGAACUGCAUUGGUGACUGGCAGGCUAGAGUAUGGCAGAGGGGGGUAGAAUUCCACGUGUAGCAGUGAAAUGCGUAGAGAUGUGGAGGAAUACCGAUGGCGAAGGCAGCCCCCUGGGCCAAUACUGACGCUCAUGCACGAAAGCGUGGGGAGCAAACAGGAUUAGAUACCCUGGUAGUCCACGCCCUAAACGAUGUCAACUAGUUGUUGGGGAUUCAUUUCCUUAGUAACGUAGCUAACGCUGAAGUUGACCGCCUGGGGAGUACGGUCGCAAGAUUAAAACUCAAAGGAAUUGACGGGGUCAUAGCUGUUUCCU